This is a non-coding RNA of Geobacteraceae bacterium GWC2_55_20, 38 nucleotides long. Lineage: Bacteria; Pseudomonadati; Thermodesulfobacteriota; Desulfuromonadia; Geobacterales; Geobacteraceae. The record is from Rfam.
GGAGCGCCCGUCCUAUCUGGGCGGGCGAGGAUUGAAAC